Molecule: long non-coding RNA, 333 nt
Organism: Trifolium pratense (red clover)
Lineage: Eukaryota; Viridiplantae; Streptophyta; Magnoliopsida; Fabales; Fabaceae
Exons: 2
Source: RefSeq, a predicted model, not a curated record
AAGAGUUAGGAUAGUGAUACAAACAAGAAAACAAACACACAAAAAAUAGUGCUAGUGGGUGAGAGAAAAGAGAGAGAGCUCAUGGGAGAGUGAAGAGAAGCAAAGGAAGGAAAAGCUUAACCUCAAUUUAUGGAGUUCACUACAAUCCAAAUUUUCAAGUAGGAUACGAAUCAUAGAUGGUGUGUUCGGAUCGCUGUUGCUUUGCUAUUUAUUUGGAGUCGCUCUGUUAGGAUGUUGUUGGGAGAAACUUUUAUUUAAUUAUGUUGUUAAAUUUUUAUAACAAUUGAACUAUGUCACUUGAUUCAGUAUUUUCAAUUCGGACUUUGAAACUUA